This 465-nucleotide ribosomal RNA is filed under the name uncultured Thiobacillus sp. RNAcentral's name for it is "bacterial SSU rRNA". It matches the Rfam family "Bacterial small subunit ribosomal RNA", at positions 913 to 1382 of the family's 1533-position model. Lineage: Bacteria; Pseudomonadati; Pseudomonadota; Betaproteobacteria; Nitrosomonadales; Thiobacillaceae. The record is from RNAcentral.
ACGGGGACCCGCACAAGCGGUGGAUGAUGUGGAUUAAUUCGAAUGCAACGCGAAGAACCUUACCUACCCUUGACAUGUCCGGAACUUGCCAGAGAUGGCUUGGUGCCCGAAAGGGAAUCGGAACACAGGUGCUGCAUGGCUGUCGUCAGCUCGUGUCGUGAGAUGUUGGGUUAAGUCCCGCAACGAGCGCAACCCUUAUCAUUAGUUGCUACGCAAGGGCACUCUAAUGAGACUGCCGGUGACAAACCGGAGGAAGUGGGGAUGACGUCAAGUCCUCAUGGCCCUUAUGGGUAGGGCUUCACACGUCAUACAAUGGUCGGUACAGAGGGUUGCCAAGCCGCGAGGCGGAGCCAGUCCCACAAAGCCGAUCGUAGUCCGGAUUGUUCUCUGCAACUCGAGAGCAUGAAGUCGGAAUCGCUAGUAAUCGCAGGUCAGCAUACUGCGGUGAAUACGUUCCCGGGUCUU